AGGGGGGGGCAAGCAAGAGUUCAAAGCCUUGAGUUCAAUCCCCAGCACCAGCACUCCACGCACAAAAUAGCCCAUCUGCUGCUGAGGUACAUUCACAGUGACUGCAGUACCCAGAAUGCCAGUAUGUUUAAGGUGCAAAUACUUUUGAAACCAGUAUUGGGAAGGCCUCAGACCUGGGACUGCGUCUCUUCGUGGUUUCACCGGGCAACGCCUCAUGGCCCCUCUUUGUGCACAUCUUCUGCAUUCACCUUGGGAUGACCUUCACUGCAGUGGCUCGGACUCUGGACUUGUCCCCCAUGGGGUCUCGCCAGGCCUGUUAGUCUGUGGUCUCUCAUCCACUGCCCUGCCGGAGGGGACACGCACGUGCCGGAGCUGUCUGCUCCCCGCCACAGGGAAGGAAGGCCUGACCAGCAAGCCUCAGCUCCUGGUGACUUGAUGGGUCCUGAGCAGGAGGAAGGAUGGCCAUGUUCUGUGUUCCCGGGUUUCUCAGCCAUGGGCCCCGCUCGCCUCCUGUUGAAACUAUUCAGGGAAAACAGCUGCGUCGCUAUGUAGAACAUAGAACAUGUACAGACCUUUGUUCUUAGUUACCAAAAAAAAUGCAGUAGAACGACUAUUUAGCAUUUACAUUGUAUUAACUAUUCUAAGUCAUCUAGGGAUGAGAAGAUUAUAUGCAAAUACUAUGCCA
Long non-coding RNA from Dipodomys ordii (Ord's kangaroo rat), 685 nucleotides. RefSeq lists it as uncharacterized. The transcript is spliced from 2 exons. Lineage: Eukaryota; Metazoa; Chordata; Mammalia; Rodentia; Heteromyidae. The record is from RefSeq and is a predicted model, not a curated record.